This 77-nucleotide transfer RNA is filed under the name Holosporaceae bacterium. RNAcentral describes it as "tRNA-Arg". It matches the Rfam family "tRNA". Rfam says of the family: Transfer RNA (tRNA) molecules are approximately 80 nucleotides in length. Their secondary structure includes four short double-helical elements and three loops (D, anti-codon, and T loops). Lineage: Bacteria; Pseudomonadati; Pseudomonadota; Alphaproteobacteria; Holosporales; Holosporaceae. The record is from RNAcentral.
GCGCCCGUAGCUCAAUUGGAUAGAGCGCCAGACUACGGAUCUGGAGGUUAUGGGUUCGACUCCUAUCGGGCGCGCCA